UAGGGAAUCUUCCACAAUGGACGAAAGUCUGAUGGAGCAACGCCGCGUGAGUGAAGAAGGGUUUCGGCUCGUAAAACUCUGUUGUUGAAGAAGAACAUAUCUGAGAGUAACUGUUCAGGUAUUGACGGUAUUUAACCAGAAAGCCACGGCUAACUACGUGCUAG
Molecule: ribosomal RNA, 164 nt
Filed under: uncultured bacterium
Lineage: Bacteria
Description: partial 16S rRNA
Rfam family: Bacterial small subunit ribosomal RNA
Source: RNAcentral